Molecule: long non-coding RNA, 1684 nt
Organism: Brachypodium distachyon (stiff brome)
Lineage: Eukaryota; Viridiplantae; Streptophyta; Magnoliopsida; Poales; Poaceae
Exons: 2
Source: RefSeq, a predicted model, not a curated record
ACGUCAAGUGGCAGCGCAAUCCAAAGGGGACGGCGCCCUCCUGCUCCGCUCGUCUCACCUCUCUGACAGCGGCGGCGGAUGUGCAAGCUCGGGCGGUGGCCGGCUGAAAGGCAGGCAGCAGGCUUGGCCUCCAUCUCUCAAUUCUCUGAAUUUUCAGUUUUUGCAGCCUAUCCACAGAAGCAGAUAACGUACUCUCGAUUUUACUUCAGGCUACUAUUUAGUUGUACUUUCCGAAGUGCUUUGGUUUUGUUUAGUGUUUGUUAAUCAUUUCUCUGCUCAGCUUUAACACGGGCAUUGAUGAAACGGAAACAUCAGAUCUAUAUAGGUGUUCUUAUGGUACUCAAUUAAUAUGGUGUAAGAUCUUGUGUUUCCCGUAUACUACUGCUAAAAGGUGCUCUAGACGUAAUUUUCAAGAUUUGGGGUUUCAAAGGUAAGGCGUCACUUAUUUUCAAACAUCCAAAAUUCAAAAUACGAAGAUUUACUAACGGGCUCAUAGUAGGUUUCAGCAUCAUUCGAUCUCAAUUUUUGUCAUGCUCGGAUUCUUAAAACUCCUGAUAAAGCAUAGAUUCUCAAUUUUCGGGUGAGCUUAUUGUAUACAUGAUCUAUCUUUAUGUUUGGUUGAUCGAGUUGCUAACUUACACACAUGUUGGUCCAAUGGGCUUUAACUAUCUUUAACAACUCAUUUCCUUUUCGCCUUUAGUUGGUAUAAUAGCAAUAUAUAGUUGCUUAAAUACUGCAUUACUGGAGAAGAGCACCGACAUUAUAUAAACUAUGUUAGUAGGUUUCAGCAUCAUAGUGGGGAGGAAAUGCAGGCUGUUAGAGCAUGCAAGGAGUAAAUGUAGUUUCUUGAUUCUUCCCUUGAUUCUAAACGUCUGAAGGGCAUCACAACAACAGAUCCUUAACUAAGCUAACAAAUUCAUCUCCCAAUUUCCCCCCUAAUUAAUUUCUUUACAGAUGGCCACAUCUGACCCUAAGUUUUGAUUCCGUUCAAUUAUAUUUUUAAUUGGAGCGAUGCCAUAUAUAUUGUGAUGUUUUAUGUCAUACGAAAAUUGCUAUUAGAUAUCUUUUCCUCAAAAAAAAAUUGCUAUUAGAUAUGAGCCUCAUGAUUAUUUGAACUUCUUUUGUCUUGGCGAUAUGAGAUGACAGCCCUAGCACAGCCUUAGUGCAAAAUCUCUUGUUUUCCUUUCAAGUUUUAGCAUAUUAUGAUGGGGACACCUUCCAGUUUUGUUUUGUUUUGGUAAUUAUAUUAGGGCGGAAAUAAUGCCAGGUCAAAAGGAGGUCAAGCAAGUGAAAAUAUAUGGGGCUUUUAUAAAUACUGUUCUUUUUUCCAGUUUUAUUGGCACACCAAAUUAAGUUUCUAUUUUUAAGUUGUACAUAUCAUGGAGUGAAUGUAUUAUCUAAGUGGUUCCGGUUAUUUGCAAGAGUAUGAUCAAAGUAAUUAUGUUAGCUCGACAAUCGACUUCUUUAAAGAGCAUGCGAGAUUUUGACUGAUAAUCAUCUUAGAUGAAGUUGUCAGAAUGGAAGAAGAUGGGCAGAAAUCGCUCCAGCAUUUACGUGAUAUGAGCAAAAAAUAGAUGAGUUGUCAAUGAUUUAUGUUCCGUAGUAACGCACGGGUACCUAACUAUUAAUGAUAAUAUUUCUCCGGCUGAAUGGAAAAGAUGAAUGAGAUGGACGAUUUGGUGGA